AUUGAACGCUGGCGGCAGGCUUAACACAUGCAAGUCGAACGGCAGCGCGGUCUGCGCCCGCUCUUCCAGGGGCCAACGGGCGGGUAAGUCAGCGGAACAUGCGCAUCUGCUUUUUAGAGCGCGGCGAAAGCGGGAAUAAUACCCCAAUCGACCUGAGGGUGUAAGCGGGGGACCAAAAGGCCUCGCGCCAUUGCGCGAUCCGAUGUCGGAUUAGCUAGUUGGUGGGGUAAAGGCGUACCAAGGCGACGAUCCGUAGCUGGUCUGAGAGGAUGAUCAGCCACACUGGAACUGAGACACGGCCCAGACUCCUACGGGAGGCAGCAGUGGGGAAUUUUGGACAAUGGGCGCAAGCCUGAUCCAGCCAUGCCGCGUGCGUGAAGAAGGCCUUCGGGUUGUAAACCGCUUUUGUUGGGGAAGAAAUGCUGUAGGCUAAUACCCCGCGGGGCUGACGGUACCGGAAGAAUAAGCACCGGCUAACUACGUG
Molecule: ribosomal RNA, 484 nt
Filed under: uncultured bacterium
Lineage: Bacteria
Description: partial 16S ribosomal RNA
Rfam family: Bacterial small subunit ribosomal RNA
Source: RNAcentral